This is a non-coding RNA of Punica granatum (pomegranate), 3466 nucleotides long. The record is from RefSeq and is a predicted model, not a curated record. Lineage: Eukaryota; Viridiplantae; Streptophyta; Magnoliopsida; Myrtales; Lythraceae.
UUCUGUACAGUCUCUUCAAGAGGCGCCACUGUUUCGUCGAAGCAUAAGAACAGCCCACUCCCGCCAACAGCUUUGGCACUCCGUUUCCCACGCAGAGGUCUCUUCCCGCUCUUCCUCCGGGCACCGACCGGUUCUUCAGCCCAUCCGAUGUCGCCGCGCUCGCACACACGACACUGGUGUCUGGAGGCAUUCCACCAAUUCUGUCUCCCGCCUCCCCCUCCUGCAGCCACCGCCCAUUGCUGCAUCCUAAGAUUUGCCCUUUCGAUCAGCCUCCCCUCCAAGCUUGGCCCAUGGCAACUUCGUAAUUCCACCGUCCCUGGGCCCUCUCCUCGGAACCGUCAUAUUUUCCCCGUAAGCUUGUGCCUUUCUUAAGUUGCAUCCAUUCAUCCCCUGGGUUGCUUAAACUAUUUCUCACAGAGUGGCCCCAUGUUUGCUUGCUUUUCCUCUGUUCAGUUGCUCUUUGUUCACUCUUUCCCAAUUCAGUCCCAAAUUACGACUACUAAGUGUUCUGUGAAUUGCAUAUGAUAGUUUUCUUUGCUCCACCCAUGCCCCAAAGAUGUUCGCACCCAGGUAACCAUCCCCUGCUAGCCUUUCAUUUAUGAUAGUCCCAUCCUCUACUUCAGGCUAGAUUAUGUGGUUUGUUUUAUUUCUCUCGAUGUUUACUUCCUGCUCAUUGAAUUUAAUUCAAAAUUUCAGACUACUGGAUGUGAUUUUUAGGUUCAUUUUCUUCAAGAGGGGAAAUGGCUUCAAACAAAUUGAAUUUUCCGAUGAAGGUUGCUCUUACUCCACUAUGUAUAUUAGGAGCUGUUAUGAGUGUGAAGUUAGAAUUUUGUUUUAAUUUUAAUAGUAAAGUUAUAAAUUAAAUUAAAAUCAGUUUUUCAUAUUUCAGAGUUACUACAUUUUCUCAGUACAUCUAUGUAGCAACCAAUCUGGUAAAUAUGUUCCUUUGAGUCCUCGAUACAAUCUGAAAUGCAGGAAGAAGAAGAGAAAUAAAUUAGUAUCUCUAAGUUCACAAACAGAUGGGCAUCCUUUCACUCUAAGGAGUAGCUCUCCCUACCAAUAGUAAUGCUAUGCGUGGUCCAGCAGCCCUUUGCUAGAUCAAAACAGAGGACAACCAGAUGAAUCCCGGUAUCAGUAUCAGGCACCAAUAAUGGCCCCCAAAAGGCUACAGUGACCUCACCGGAACUCGAUGCCAGUCCAGUUCUUCGGGGUCAAAUAGUGUCAGACACUUUUGCAGCGUCAUGGUUCCAAUAGUUUUAAAUACAUGGAAUAUCAUCCAUUGUGGGUCUAUUAGCAGCAUCCUGCUUGAACUGAGCUAGAACGGGACAAACUUUGUCUUUGCUAUGUACUUGAAUUAAGAAAAAUAAUCACCUUCUCAGAAAUCAGUAGUUUUGCUUGAAUGCUCAUUGAAUUGGACUCCUGGAGUUUCAUAUUGUUACCUUUCAAGACUUCAAGGAAUCGUAGCCAAUUUUAGAAAGCUACUGCUUGGCCCAAAUUUGGUUUUAUCUGAGGGACCUGAUCACAUUACAAGAGCGCUCGACAUCUUCCGUUCAGUCCUAUGCUUUUCAACUUUGAAGUCAUUUACAUCCUUUUUAUUUAUUUAUUUAUUUAUUUUGUUCUAUGGUUGCUCUUACCUGUUCUCUCUUUAUCUUUCUCUUGUUUUAAUCAUUACUAUUCUAGAAUCCAUGUAAGUUACUUUUCUUGGUAUAAUAUGUGCAAGUCCUUCGUUCUUGUUCACCUCCUCCGACGUUAAAUGUGAUGGCCCGAGGGGAGCUACUUCGUAUAUGUAUCUUUCAUCUAAAAAGGAAAAAGAAAGAAAACAAGCUGUAUAUGCUAUCUCCUUAGAUGCCAUUAAGUGGAAAAGAACAUCAAGAGACUACUUACAUCUGGCAUCUUCUGUUAGCCAGGAACAUGGGAUUAUAACAUCUGCUGAUUGAAGUUUUACCGAAAAUCAGAAAAUUCAUUUGUUUAAACCCCUGUACACCAUCCAUUUUUAUAAUCAGCCGUCCAUAUUUGGUCCUCUUUUGCUUCAUUGUACCUUAUCUUAUAUCUUGAACUGCAGUGUCAUCGCUUUGCCGCCAAGUUAUGAGCUUUGCAAUAUUACUGCUUUUAUAGCUGUUUACUCCAUUGAUUUUGUAUUUCGUUGUUGCUUGUUCAUGUUUUGCUUUUGGUAUGUGCUUGCCUAUUACAUGUUUUUUUUUUCUUCCUAAUAUCCUGCUUUUGUGUCUUGUGCCCCUUCUCGUCCAUCCGGAGUAUGUUUACUUCUACGUUGUAGUUUUUGUUGCCAAUUGGUCUAAUCCUGCUUACUGUCUGUGCCUUUUGGUUUUGCAAUAUGCUUUUUUUGAACAGUCUUCUACUCUGACUGCUACUUAUAUUCCAUGCUCUGUAUGUUGGCAUGUAUAUUUUAGUUUUCGAUCUACUCCAUGAUUUACCUAUUUUUCAUGCGUCUUCUUUAUUUAUGCCUUUCAGGAAAAGAAAAACCUCGCUCCUGCAUGAUUUCAACUGGUAUGCUCGACUGACACUUGAAGAAAAGUGGACCAGAGUCGUUGUUAACAGAGACCAACGGGAAAGGCCCGUGUAAGUGCUGUUGGCAGAGGCUUUGCCGCGGUCGCUUUCCAUCAUUGCCGAUUACUCCUCUUCUCAUCUGUUAGCAGCCCUGGUACACUCUGUUGUGCCUUUUCUUUUCCCCACAACUUUUGUCCGUAAUUUUACAUUAUACUUGCUCUAUUUUUUUUGAAAUAUAUAUAGAGAUCUCGGUUGUGUUUCGAUGUCUAUGCCACUGUAGCUCCUGUCUAACAUAGGAUUUUGCUUCUCCACAUGUCUUUCUUUUAUCUUUUCUCUGUUUAGUUUGUCUUGAACUUGCUCUCUCCUAGAAUUCAAAUGGGUCUGAGUAUUAUGUUUUGCUAUUGCCAUCUUUCAUUUUUUUCGCUAUAAAUUCUGAUCCUCACAGAUACAUUUUCUUAAUGCAUGCCACACAACGUAAAAUAUAUGACCUUCCUACCUCAAAUUUCCUCCUUUGAAUCUAAAUUCCUAUCGGCCACUUUAGGUUGUACUUGUGCAUGCCAUUUGUAGGCCUGUCAUUAUCUUAUGUCUCACCUUGUUUCAGUUACAUCAUUUAGCUUUUUGGCUCUGCUUUGUGUUGUGUACAUAAUAUACCUGAAACUUCUCAUCUUUCCUCUAUGCUUUAAUAUUAGCUGCUUGUAUUACAAGCCAAGUUUUAUUCCUGAGUCCUGGCAAGUAUUACAUACUUGUUUUCUUUGGUUAGCUACAGGUAGAAGGAUUGCUUCUCCAGUAGAUGUUAUGCAUAGUUAUUAGCGGGUCCAGGUUUGAUAAAGUGCAUGAUAGAUUGUUUGAAAGCCUGCUGACGGCAUGAAUGAAGGACUCUUAUCUGUAAAUUUCAUAUUUUAUGCUGGAUUGCCUGAGUUAUUUAGUUUUGCAAAAUCCUUAGUGCAUGUUUCAAGCACUC